AAGAAGAGAAAUAAAAGA
Molecule: small RNA, 18 nt
Filed under: Arabidopsis thaliana (thale cress)
Lineage: Eukaryota; Viridiplantae; Streptophyta; Magnoliopsida; Brassicales; Brassicaceae
Description: ATSL007770
Source: RNAcentral